ACAAGAGUUGCCUGCGUCAGGUA
RNAcentral lists this non-coding RNA (23 nucleotides) under Arabidopsis thaliana (thale cress). The record is from RNAcentral. Lineage: Eukaryota; Viridiplantae; Streptophyta; Magnoliopsida; Brassicales; Brassicaceae.